AACGCGAAGAACCUUACCCACCUUUGACAUGUACGGAAUCCUUUAGAGAUAGAGGAGUGCUCGAAAGAGAGCCGUAACACAGGUGCUGCAUGGCUGUCGUCAGCUCGUGUCGUGAGAUGUUGGGUUAAGUCCCGCAACGAGCGCAACCCUUGCCAUUAGUUGCUACGAAAGGGCACUCUAAUGGGACUGCCGGUGACAAACCGGAGGAAGGUGGGGAUGACGUCAAGUCCUCAUGGCCCUUAUAGGUGGGGCUAGAAACGUCAUACAAUGGCCGGUACAAAGGGUCGCUAAGCCGCGAGGUGGAGCCAAUCCCAUAAAGCCGGUCGUAGUCCGGAUCGCAGUCUGCAACUCGACUGCGUGAAGUCGGAAUCGCUAGUAAUCGCGGAUCAGAAUGCCGCGGUGAAUGCGUUCCCGGGUCUUGUACACACCG
This 430-nucleotide ribosomal RNA is filed under the name uncultured bacterium. RNAcentral describes it as "bacterial SSU rRNA". It matches the Rfam family "Bacterial small subunit ribosomal RNA", at positions 958 to 1392 of the family's 1533-position model. The record is from RNAcentral.